Molecule: ribosomal RNA, 922 nt
Filed under: uncultured Bacteroidota bacterium
Lineage: Bacteria; Pseudomonadati; Bacteroidota
Description: bacterial SSU rRNA
Rfam family: Bacterial small subunit ribosomal RNA
Source: RNAcentral
GGAUCCAGACUUUGAUUCUGGCUCAGGAUGAACGCUAGCUACAGGCUUAACACAUGCAAGUCGAGGGGCAGCAUGGUCUUAGCUUGCUAAGGCCGAUGGCGACCGGCGCACGGGUGAGUAACACGUAUCCAACCUGCCGUCUACUCUUGGACAGCCUUCUGAAAGGAAGAUUAAUACAAGAUGGCAUCAUGAGUCCGCAUGUUCACAUGAUUAAAGGUAUUCCGGUAGACGAUGGGGAUGCGUUCCAUUAGAUAGUAGGCGGGGUAACGGCCCACCUAGUCUUCGAUGGAUAGGGGUUCUGAGAGGAAGGUCCCCCACAUUGGAACUGAGACACGGUCCAAACUCCUACGGGAGGCAGCAGUGAGGAAUAUUGGUCAAUGGGCGAGAGCCUGAACCAGCCAAGUAGCGUGAAGGAUGACUGCCCUAUGGGUUGUAAACUUCUUUUAUAAAGGAAUAAAGUCGGGUAUGCAUACCCGUUUGCAUGUACUUUAUGAAUAAGGAUCGGCUAACUCCGUGCCAGCAGCCGCGGUAAUACGGAGGAUCCGAGCGUUAUCCGGAUUUAUUGGGUUUAAAGGGAGCGUAGAUGGAUGUUUAAGUCAGUUGUGAAAGUUUGCGGCUCAACCGUAAAAUUGCAGUUGAUACUGGAUAUCUUGAGUGCAGUUGAGGCAGGCGGAAUUCGUGGUGUAGCGGUGAAAUGCUUAGAUAUCACGAAGAACUCCGAUUGCGAAGGCAGCCUGCUAAGCUGCAACUGACAUUGAGGCUCGAAAGCGUGGGUAUCAAACAGGAUUAGAUACCCUGGUAGUCCACACGGUAAACGAUGAAUACUCGCUGUUUGCGAUAUACAGCAAGCGGCCAAGCGAAAGCGUUAAGUAUUCCACCUGGGGAGUACGCCGGCAACGGUGCAACUCAAAGGAAUUGACGG